GAUGAACGCUGGCGGCGUGCCUAACACAUGCAAGUCGAACGGAGAUUACGGACGGAAGUUUUCGGAUGGAAGCCUGUAAUUCUUAGUGGCGGACGGGUGAGUAACGCGUGGGCAACCUGCCCUAUACAGGGGGAUAGCAGCUGGAAACGGCUGGUAAGACCGCAUAAGUCGGUUAAAUCGCAUGAUUUGAUCGGGAAAUGAGCAAUCAGGUAUAGGAUGGGCCCGCGUCCGAUUAGCCAGUUGGCAGGGUAAAGGCCUACCAAAGCGACGAUCGGUAGCCGGACUGAGAGGUCGGACGGCCACAUUGGGACUGAGACACGGCCCAAACUCCUACGGGGGGCAGCAGUGGGGGAUAUUGCACAAUGGAGGAAACUCUGAUGCAGCGACGCCGCGUGAGUGAAGAAGUAUUUCGGUAUGUAAAGCUCUAUCAGCAGGGAAGAUGAUGACGGUACCUGACUAAGAAGCCCCGGCUAACUACGUG
RNAcentral lists this ribosomal RNA (481 nucleotides) under uncultured bacterium. RNAcentral describes it as "partial 16S ribosomal RNA". It matches the Rfam family "Bacterial small subunit ribosomal RNA", at positions 28 to 507 of the family's 1533-position model. The record is from RNAcentral.